AGCGAACGCUGGCGGCAGGCUUAACACAUGCAAGUCGAGCGGGCGUAGCAAUACGUCAGCGGCAGACGGGUGAGUAACGCGUGGGAACAUACCUUUUGGUUCGGAACAACACAGGGAAACUUGUGCUAAUACCGAAUAAGCCCUUACGGGGAAAGAUUUAUCGCCGAAAGAUUGGCCCGCGUCUGAUUAGCUUGUUGGUGAGGUAACGGCUCACCAAGGCGACGAUCAGUAGCUGGCUGAGAGGAUGAUCAGCCACAUUGGGACUGAGACACGGCCCAAACUCCUACGGGAGGCAGCAGUGGGGAAUAUUGGACAAUGGGCGCAAGCCUGAUCCAGCCAUGCCGCGUGAGUGAUGAA
This 357-nucleotide ribosomal RNA is filed under the name uncultured bacterium. RNAcentral's name for it is "bacterial SSU rRNA". It matches the Rfam family "Bacterial small subunit ribosomal RNA", at positions 29 to 412 of the family's 1533-position model. The record is from RNAcentral.